UACGUAGGUGGCAAGCGUUGUCCGGAAUUAUUGGGCGUAAAGCGCGCGCAGGUGGUUCCUUAAGUCUGAUGUGAAAGCCCACGGCUCAACCGUGGAGGGUCAUUGGAAACUGGGGAACUUGAGUGCAGGAGAGAAGAGUGGAAUUCCACGUGUAGCGGUGAAAUGCGUAGAGAUGUGGAGGAACACCAGUGGCGAAGGCGACUCUUUGGCCUGUAACUGACGCUGAGGCGCGAAAGCGUGGGGAGCAAACGGG
Molecule: ribosomal RNA, 253 nt
Filed under: uncultured bacterium
Lineage: Bacteria
Description: partial 16S ribosomal RNA
Rfam family: Bacterial small subunit ribosomal RNA
Source: RNAcentral